RNAcentral lists this ribosomal RNA (543 nucleotides) under uncultured bacterium. Its description in RNAcentral is "partial 16S ribosomal RNA". It matches the Rfam family "Bacterial small subunit ribosomal RNA", at positions 355 to 889 of the family's 1533-position model. The record is from RNAcentral.
UGGGGAAUUUUGGACAAUGGGCGCAAGCCUGAUCCAGCCAUGCCGCGUGCGGGAAGAAGGCCUUCGGGUUGUAAACCGCUUUUGUCAGGGAAGAAAUCUUCUGAGUUAAUACCUCGGGAGGAUGACGGUACCUGAAGAAUAAGCACCGGCUAACUACGUGCCAGCAGCCGCGGUAAUACGUAGGGUGCAAGCGUUAAUCGGAAUUACUGGGCGUAAAGCGUGCGCAGGCGGUUUUGUAAGACAGAGGUGAAAUCCCCGGGCUCAACCUGGGAACUGCCUUUGUGACUGCAAGGCUUGAGUGCGGCAGAGGGGGGAUGGAAUUCCGCGUGUAGCAGUGAAAUGCGUAGAUAUGCGGAGGAACACCGAUGGCGAAGGCAAUCCCCUGGGCCUGCACUGACGCUCAUGCACGAAAGCGUGGGGAGCAAACAGGAUUAGAUACCCUGGUAGUCCACGCCCUAAACGAUGUCAACUGGUUGUUGGGAAGGUUCCUUCUCAGUAACGUAGCUAACGCGUGAAGUUGACCGCCUGGGGGAGUACGGCCGC